CGGCGGACGGGUGAGUAACACGUGGAUAACCUACCUAUAAGACUGGGGUAACUUCGGGAAACCGGAGCUAAUACCGGAUAAUAUUUUGAACCGCAUGGUUCAAAAGUAAAAGACGGUCUUGCUGUCACUUAUAGAUGGAUCCGCGCUGCAUUAGCUAGUUGGUAAGGUAACGGCUUACCAAGGCAACGAUGCAUAGCCGACCUGAGAGGGUGAUCGGCCACACUGGAACUGAGACACGGUCCAG
RNAcentral lists this ribosomal RNA (244 nucleotides) under uncultured Staphylococcus sp. RNAcentral describes it as "partial 16S ribosomal RNA". It matches the Rfam family "Bacterial small subunit ribosomal RNA", at positions 96 to 334 of the family's 1533-position model. Lineage: Bacteria; Bacillati; Bacillota; Bacilli; Caryophanales; Staphylococcaceae. The record is from RNAcentral.